RNAcentral lists this long non-coding RNA (1362 nucleotides) under Suricata suricatta (meerkat). Its description in RNAcentral is "lncRNA (ENSSSUG00005002553.1)". Lineage: Eukaryota; Metazoa; Chordata; Mammalia; Carnivora; Herpestidae. The record is from RNAcentral.
CCGUGAUCACAGCUGAGCCGAUGGGUCUUCUCUCUCUACUUCUGCGGGAUCGUGGGUGAUCAUCUCCUGUGCUCAGAUACUUGGUCUCGGCUGUGGUGUUCGGCAGAAAUCAGUGAUUUUUCAACACAUUGGAAGGUGCCCACAACUGGUACUAGUGUGUUUUUUGUCACUUCCAAACACCUGUGGUCAGUCCUUUGCUUUUCCAGACAAGAGUGAGCUUAGGAAUGCUUCAUUUCAUUCUAGGUCAGGCUGCCUGCAGAUACAGACCCUUUCCUCUGCUGCCUUGUCACCAGUUACGUGAAAUGCCGCCUAUGACAAGAGUUUAUUAUUACGGCACUCUAGUCAACAUCCAUGCGAACGUAUGCACCGGCCCCCACGCAGAAGAAGAUUGCAUUGAGCCAGUAGAGAGCAGAGAUUCCAUUGGUGACGGUGAGAAUCGUCCUGCACAGUGACCUCCUCUCUCUUGUCUCCCUCACACCAGCCAUGGCAGUUUUCAAAGAUCGGUGCAGGCGUGAUCGCGGAAGAAAUUAUGCUCACAAAGCAAGGUUUUCCUGUAACCACUGGACUGCCGGCCACCAGCUGGGCAAGGUGAGGCGUCUUCUGACCUUCUACAUGUGCACAAUGUCCUUCCCCUUCUCAGCGAGUCGUUGCACGCUGGCAGAGGCACGGCGCUGGGGUGGGGGAGGCACGGCAGUCAGUGUGCGCUGGGGAAGCUCGGGGUCUGGCCGUCACAGGCCUUCUGUAAACAAACGUGAGGGUUCCUGCUGACGACGCCUCCUCUCAGCCUCUAUGUGGUGCUUUCCGUGAGCUCACACCUCAUGGUUCUUGGACAUAUAGGACAGGGGUGGACAUUUGGAGCCGGGCUUUGCCAGAAAAUGUCUCACUUCUCAAGGCUUUCUCCCUCAGUCACCAGAAUCCCUAACAACUCUGCCUGAACCCUCUGAUCCCUGUCCUGGGCUCAUUCUAUCUCCAGAGACCUGCAUGGGCAGAGGGGACUCUGGGUGCGUGCUGGCUUGACGUUGUGGGCCAACUGACCGACUGACCGUGACAGGGUCCUGCCUCUCUGUUAGCAUCACGUUAAUACAGGGCCACCCUCAGACGCGUCCCCGCCCCUUUCCCGCGUCUUCCAGGAGGUCUCCCGGUUCGGUAAGUGCAAACCUGCACUGGGUGCUGGAGGCGGGGCAGGCCUCAGCCCAUCUUGCUACUUUCUCUUUCCUUCUCUUCCAUCUUUUCUCAUUUUGUUUAUUCUUCAGUCUGGCUCUCCUCCAUUUCCAUGGCAUCCCCCUCCUUUCAAAGAGUCCACAAGUCUUUAGGAGGCUUUAAGGCAGAGAGGUGGCUGAGAGACUGAGGACCAGACAGUCC